CUUUCCUAUCUUGCUCUGUCACCCAGGCUGGAGUGCAGUGGCAUGAUUUCAGCUCACUGCAACCUCUGCCUCCCGGGUUCAAGCGAAUCUCCUGCUUCUGCCUCCCAAGUAGCUGGGUAUACAGGCGUGUAUGCCCAAUACUUUUUGUAUUUUUAGUAGAGACAGGGUUCCACCAUGUUGGCUAGGCUGGCCUCAAACUCCUGACCUCAGGUGAUCCUUGGCCUUCCAAAGUGCUGGGUUUACAGGUGUGAGCCACCAUGCCUGGCCUUAUCACUCUCUCCUGGCUUCUUCCUACUACAUAUGACCCACCACUCACUACUUUGAAAUUGUCCUAGUCAAAAUCUCAGGACACCUUCCAGAACUGGCAGUUGACCAGGAAGUGAAUCUGGGUGUCACCUUGAGUCCUACCCUCACUUACCCCUCCCUGCAGCUUGUGAGCAGAUCCUGUCAGCGCCAGACCUGAGCACUUUCACAUCUGCCCGCUGCCCUCCUUCUACCUGGCCUCCAACCCAGUUUCACUACCUGGCCUCCCAGAUUCUGGACUCCAACAACAGCAAGAGGGAGUCUUUUUAAAACGCAGUUCUGCUCAGUUUCACUUCCACAUAGGAUGAAGUGAGAAGGUUUCACUCUGCAGCUAGAAAACAUGUACAGAACUGGGCGUCAUGGCUCAUGCCUGUAAUCUCAGCACUUUGGAAGUUCAAGGUGGGCAGAUCACUUGAGGCCAGGAGUUUGAGACUAGCCUGGCCAACAUGGUGAAACUUUGUCUCCACUAAAAAUACAAAAAUUAGCUAGAUGUGGUGGCUUACACCUGUAAUCCCAGCACUUUGGGAGGUUGAGGCAGGUGGAUCAUGAGGUCAGGAGAUCGAGACCAACCUGGCCAACAUGGUGAAACUCCGUCUCUUAAAAAAAAAAUUAAAAUUAAAUUAAAUGAAAAAUGUGGACAGAAUGCACAGAGCAACUAUUUGAGCACCCUGAAAAUUAAGUAGCCACAAGUAGGUUGGAGAAAACCAGAUUCUGAGGUAACACCAAACGGGUGGCGAGUUUACAAUGUUUUCCCUCCAGUAUCUUCUGGAGUGAACUCGGGGGAGACCCAGAAGUGAGCAGACAGAGAAAAUACCUGGAGAAGCCCUCUAGUUCAGGCUCAAGAAGGAAGGGGUCUCCUGGCAAUGACAGCAGUGGUGACAAGGGGCCUGCAGGUGCCAAAACCUCAGAGGAAUUCAUCCAUGCCAGUAGGAAGAGCUCUGGUCCCCAGAGGUGAGGGAACCCCUGUUGCAUUUGUCUCUCACUCUUCCCACUCCUUAGCCCACGAUACAGGUGCAGUGGUGGGAAGUAGACAGCCAGAGGACUGAAACAGAGAGCCCAAGGGAGCCAGAACAAACCAGAUCUCAGAGAGAGGACCUUGGGAGAGUGACCCCAUUACGUCAUUUUCAUGAAUUCCUGGCUUCAUGUCCACGCUGCACAUGGAUGGAUCUGAUCCUAAACAACAUACAAAAGAUUUUGAGACCUGAACUUAAAGCUACGUGGAUAUCCAUGUCCCUGUGGCACUGGAUGGCACACAUGUGGGACAGAUCCAUAUCGUAAGGCAAAGGGCCAGGUGCGGUGUAACCUGGCACUUUGGAAGGUUAAGGUGGGUGGAUCGCUUGAGGUCAGGAGUUCGAGACCAGCCUGACCAACAUGGUAAAACCUCAUCUCUACUAAAAUACAGAAGAAUUAGCCAGGCAUGGUGGUGCGCACCUGUAAUCCCGGCUACUCAGGGGCCUUAGACAGGAGAAUCACUUGAACCUGGGAGGCAGAGCUUGCAGUGAGCCAAGAUCGCACCACUGCACUCCAGCCAGGGUGAUAGAGCAAGACUCUGUCUCAAAAACAAAAACAAAUAGUACUGCAAAGGCUUUGAAAAUGGAACUAACAGUGAAACCACCAUCCAGAGAAGGCUGGUCACUAUGUGUGGCCUUAACCCAACUUAGCUGAUAGACUGCUAAAUUGAAAAUAUGAAAUUGCCAACAUCAGGAAUGAAAUAAUCAAUAGCACAAACAAACAUAAAAGGAUAACUAUAAAAACAUAAAAUAGAUAAAUGAUACAUAAAAUGCUACAGACAACUCUGCUGACAAAUCUGACAAUUUGGAUGAAAUGAACCAAUUCCUCAGAAGUCAAAUUCUAAAACUUACCCAAGAUCAAAUCCAUAACCUGAAUAAUCCUAUAAAUAAAACUAUUUAAAUAAAUCCUAUAAUAAAACUAUUAAAUAUAUUAGUUUGAAAGACUUCAAAAAAAAGUCUUGAGGCCUACAUGAUUUCACAAGUAAAUUUUAUCACAUAUUUGAAAAAAGAAUAACACUAUUUCCACAAAAUCUCUUCCAGAAAACAGAAAAGUAGUAAUUUUUUUUCUUUUUCUUUUUUUUGAGAUGGAGUCUCACUCUGUCACCCAGGCUGGAGUAUAGUGGCAAGAUAUUGGCUCACUGCAACCUCCACUUCCUGGGUUCAAGCAAUCUCCUGCCUUAGCAUCCCAAGUAGCUGGGAUUACAGGCACCUGCUACCACGCCCAACUUUUUUUUUUUUUUUUUUUUUUUUUUUGUAUUUUUAGUAGAGACAGGGUUUCACUAUGUUGGCCAGGCUAGCCUCAAACUCCUGACCUCAGGUGAUCCUCUUGCCUUGGGCCCCUAAAGUGCUGGAAUUACAGGCGUGCACCUGGCCUUUUUUUUUUUUUUUUUUUUUUAAGAGACGGAGUCUUGUACUGUUGCCCAGGCUAGAGUGCAAUGGCAUUAUCUCAGCUCACUGCAAACUCCACCUCCCAGGUUCAAGUGAUUCUCCUGCCUCAGCCUCCCGAGUAGCUGGGAUUACAGGUGCACACUGCCACACCUGGCUAAUUUUUUUUUUUUUUUUUUUGUAUUUUUAGUAGAGACAGGUUUUCACUACAUUGGCCAGGCUGACCUCGAACUCCUGAGCUUAUGAUCCGCCCGCCUUGGCCUCCCAAAGUGCUAGGAUUAUAGGCACAAGCCACCAGGCCUGGCCAGCAGGAGUGAGUAAUUUCUUUUAUUUUUUUUUUCUUUCUUUUUUUGAGAUGGAGUUUUGUUCUUGUUGCCCAGGCAGGAGUGCAAUGGCAUGAUGUUGGCACACUACAACCUCUGUCUCCUGUUAAACCCAGGAUUCUCCUGACUCAGCCUCCUGGGUAGCUGGGAUUACAGGCAUAUGCCACCAUGCCCGGCUAAUUUUGUAUAUUUAGUAGAGGUCAGCUUUCUCCAUGUUGGUCAGGCUGGUCUCAAAUUCCUGACUUCAGGUGAUUCAGCCGCCUCAGGCUUCCAAAGUGCUAGGAUUACCGGCGUGAGCCACCACGCCCAGCCUAGAAGCGAGUAAUUUCUAAUUUAUGAGGACAGCAUACCCUGAUACUAAACUGAACAAAGAUAGUACAAGAAAAGAAAACUUCGGACUGAUAUUUCUCAUGAGCAUAGAUGAAAACAUCUUCAACAAAGUGUUAACAAUUUGAACCCGGCAGUACAACAGAGUAAUACACCAUGAUCAAGUGGAUUUCAUGCUAGGAGUGCAAGGUAGAUUCCAUAUUUGAAAAUCAGUAAAUGGGGCUGGGCACAGUGGCUCACACCUGUAAUCCCAGCACUUUGAGAGGCCAAGACAGGCAGAUCACUUGAGGUCAGGAGUUCAAGAGCAGCUUGGCCAACAUGGUAAAACCCUGUCUCUACUAAAAAUCGAAAAAAAUUAGCUGGGCGUGGUGGUGCACGCCUGUAGUCCCAGCUACUUGGGAGGCUGAGGCAGGAGAAUUGCUUGAACGCAGGAGGCAGAGGUUGCAGUGAGCCAAGACUGCGCCACUGCACUCCAGCCUGGUGCCUGGCAACAGAGCAAGACUUUGUCUCAAAAAAAAAAUUAGCCAGGCAUGGUGGUGCACGCUGUAGUCCCAGCUACUUGGGAGGCUGAGUCAGGAGAACUGCUUGAACCUUGUGGGGGCAGAGGUUGCAGUGAGUCGAGAUUGCACCACUGCACUCCAGCCUAAGCAACAGAGCAAGACUGUCUCAAAAAAAGAAAGAAAAUCAAUAGAUGGAAUCACAUAUUAACAAUCUAAGAAAAACUUAUUAUAAUAUCAAUUGAUACAGAAAAAGGCAUUUGACAAAAUUUAACAUCAUUCAUGGAAAAAAAAAUAAAACUCUCAGCAAACUAGGAAGUUCCUCCACCUGAUUAAGGGCAUCUUCAAGAAACUGACAUCCUAUGUAGUGCUAGAAGACUAAACGCUUUGCUUUCCCCCUAGGAUCAGUAAAGUCAAGGAUGUCCAUGUUUCUCACUCAUAUUAUUCUUUAUGCUGGAAGUCCUGGCCAGUAUUAUAAAGCAAGAAAAAAGAAGUCAAAGGCACUCAGAUUGGGAAGAAAGAAACAAAGCUAUCCUGUUUGCAAGUGACAUGAUGGCUGUAUAGAAAAAUCCCAAGAAAUCUACACAAAUAUAAGCAAUGUCAGUACAUAAAGGCCAAUCAUAUUUCUGUAUACUAGCACAGAAAUAUUUAUAUAAAAAUUAACUCAGGCUGGGUGUGAUGGCUCACAUCCGUAAUCCCAGCACUUCGAGAGGCUGAGGUGGGCAGAUCUCCUGUGGAUAGGAGUUGAAGACCAACCUGGCCAACAUGGUGAAACCCCAUCUUUACUAAAAAUACAGGCGCAUGCCCAUAAUUCCAGGCCAAGACAGGAGAAUCGCUUGAACCUGGAGGCGGAUGUUGCAGUGAGCCAAGAUCACACUAUUGCACUCCAGCCUGGGCAACAGAGCGAGACUCCAUCUCAAAAAAACAAAAAAAGAGAAAAAAUUAACUCUAAAUGUAAAUCAUGCAACUCUCAUACUUCUACCUAUAAUCCUGGCAGAUUGGGAGGCUGAGAGGGUGGAUCACUUGAGCCUAGGAGUUUGAUUCCAGCCUGGAUAAUAUGGCGGAUUUUAAAACAUCAUUUACAAUGACCCCAUGAAAUAUUUAGAUAUAAUUACAACAAAACAAAUAUAGUAUCUGUAUAAAUAGCAUUAAAUACAUAGAAGACCAAAAUAAAUGGAGAGACAUACAAUGCUCAUGGGUCAGAAGAUUCAAGAGAAUGAAGACGUCAGUUCUCCUUUGACUGAUCAGUAGCUUUAAUGCAAUUUCAAUAAAAAUCCCAGCUGGACAUUUUCUCAGUAUAGACAAGCUUAUUAUAAAUUUAAAUGAAAAUAUAAAGAAAUUCAAAUAGCUAAAGCAACUUUGAAAAAGAAGAACAAACUUGGAGCGAUUACCCAAUUUUAAGACUUAUCAUAAGGAAACAACAGUGUGAUGCAGGCAAACGCUAUAUAGAUUAAUUAGAUAGACACAUGCAAUAACGGAACAGAAUAGAGAGUCCAAAAAUGGGCCCACACAAAUAUAGUCAGAUGACUUUUGACAGAGGUGCAGAAACAAUUUAAUUGAUAAAAGAUAGUCUUUUCUUUUUUUUUUUUGAAAUGGAGUUUCGCUGUUGUUACCCAGGCUGGAGGGCAAUGGCACGAUCUCGGCUCACCACAACCUCCGCCUCCUGGGUUCAAGCAAUUCUCCUGCCUCAGCCCCCCAAGUAGCUGGGACUACAGGCGCGCAACACCAUGCCCAGCUAAUUUUUGUAUUUUUAGUAGAGACGGGGUUUCACCUUGUUGACCAGGAUGGUCUCAAUCUCUUGACCUCGUGAUCCACCCACCUCAGCAUCCCAAAGUGCUGGGAUUAUAGGCGUGAGCCACCACGCCCGGCCAAGAUGGUCUUUACAACAACUAGUAUUAGAACAAUUGGACAUCCAUAUGCAGUAAAAUGAAUCUUGAUUUAUACUUCUUAUUUAUCGUAAAAAUUAACUCAAAAUGUAAACCAUACAGCUAUAAUACUUUUACCUGUAAUCCCAGAAGUUUGGAAGGCUGAGGCAGGUGGAUCAGUUGAGCCCAGGAGUUCAAGACCAGCGUGGGUGAUAUGGUGAAACCCCAUCUCUACCAAAAAUACAAGUUAGCCAGGCAUGGUGGUAUACACCUGUAGUCCCAGCUACUUGGGAGGCGAGUUAGGAGACAAUCAUUUGAACCUGGGAAGCUGAGGUUGCAGUGUGCUGAGAUUAUACCACUGCACUCCAGCCUGGGUGACAAAGUUAGACUCCAUCUCAAAAAAUAAAAAAUAAAAUGCAGUUUUGAUUUGUAUCUCUUCUCUAGCUGCCUCUUGGCCUCUAGACCCAUCCAGUUUCUGCUCUCUUCACUGGCACACCAUCUUGCUGCCAGCCAGCAUGAAUGCUAUAACUCUUGUUGGCAAAGUUUCUUCCCUUAGCAUCCGGCCCCUUCCCACACCUUACUUUCCUUAAGUCUGUUUACCCUCCAGGGAGAGGCCAGUCAGGAAAGCCUUCCCUGAGCCGCCUGCCUGGGCCAGAUGUUUGCUCCCACAUGUCUGCUCCUUGGCUCAGCGCCCCCAGCAUGGUGGCGUAGCAGUUAGCCUGAGCAUGGGUUUCCUAGAGCCUGAGAGUCCCCGUUUGUCAGUCCACUAGAAGUUUCAAUUCUGUGCUUCCCAGGGUCCUUCCCAUCAAAGAUAUCUAAGCCAGUAGGAGCAGAGAUGCUGUAGCCAGCCUGCCUGGGUUCAAAUCAUGGCUUCCACACUUACCCACUGUGUGACCUUGGACAAGUUGCUUGCCGUCUUUUGCCUCAUUUCUCUCCUUUGUAAAAUGAAUUUCAUGUUAGAACCAACUCUUAGAGGUGCUGUGAGGAUUAGUUUAGAUAAUUCGUAAAGUGAUCUUGGCACACAGCUUGGCAAAUGCUUGGCUAAAGCAAGCUGCAGCUAUUGACAGUCACUUUUGCAGCUUUAAAAUGAACCUUUUACAGGUUCCCAAGUCCUCUGCGCUGCUGAAACAGAAUGAGAAUGACUUUUGGGAGCAGGGAGUACUUGCAUAUUUUUUCAAAGGCUCCUUGAGUGGGAUUGGCAGAUUCAACAAAGAAAAACAGAGGUUGGCCGAGCGCAGUGACUAACACCUGUAAUCCCAGUAGUUUGGGAGGCUGAGGCAGGCAGAUCCGUUGAGGUCAGGAGUUCGAGAUCAACCUGGCCAACAUGGUGAAACCCAUUUCUACUAAAAAUGCAAAAAUUAGCUGGACAUGGUGGUGUAUGCCUCUAAUCCCAGCUACUUGGGAGGCUGAGGCAGGAGAAUUGCUUGAACCCAGGAGGUGGAGGUUGCAGUGAGCCAAGAUUGUGCCAUUACUCUCCAAGCUGGGCAACAGAGUGACCAAAACAAACAAACAAAAAAAACCACAGAUUUAAUUUGAGCUUCAAAUACAAAACAAAUAAUGUUAUAGGAUAAGGAUGUCUCAAUAUUUGGGCAGUCUUUAUACUAAAAUUUUAUUGUGUAUCUGAAAUUUAAAGGUAACUGGGUAUCCUGCAUUUUAUCUACCAGCAUUUAACCCUAUCCUGGGGGACCUUGACACCCAGCCCACUUGGGGGCUCUGCUCCCAACUCCCUGGUCUAAAGGCAGACCUCCAAGUCAGAAAAGAGAGAGUAUCCUUUUACUUGACACAGGGGGGCGCUAGAAGAUGGCUUGUUCGCUUUGUCUUCCGUAACUCAGUGUCUAGGAAAGCAUUAGCAGAUUGGCUGGCUUGCAACAUUAUCUCUCAGUAGCUGUGAAUCAUUUUCAGAUGUUCAGGUCGACCUCCCAGACGACUCUGGGAGGCUGUAAGAAGCCGAUACAGAGCUGACCACCUCUGUCUUGGGCCUUCACUUCUUGGGUGGCUAGCCUAGCUCCUCAGGGGCUCCCCUGUCCUCGCUUCCCCUCCACCCCACUGCAGGGCUCACCUGUCCUCCACUGAUGUCAUAAUUCUAUUCUGAUAUCACAGCCCAGCACUUGGAAUUAUCCCAGGCAGCCCAGGUUCUGCCCUUAGAGCAACUAAGGCAGGCAGUUGAGUGGGGAGUGGGGAGGUGAGGAGGCAGUUGGGUGGCUGGUGGGCCUAGAGGCUGACCCUAAAGAACACCUGGACAGCCUGCCAUCCUAUUGCUCCAAAAUGAAAAUCCUCUAUAAGAGUCGUUCCUUAGUGCUUGGAGGAUGCCUGCAGGUACUAAUCCAGGUUCUGCUGUGGCCACGGCCUCUGUCCUCACUCCCUAAGAAGCUGGAUGGGAACAGGGGUAUGCCCUCCUCAGACAAAGGGAAAAUACAGGUGCAUUCAAGCUAUUGACCCGCAGACUCCUCGGUACGGAGGAGGAGAGAAGCCCCAUCCUUCCUGCUGGUCAGAGGGUAUAAAGAGAUCUCUUAUGAACUCACUGAGGGAAAAUUUAACUGGUAUGGAUUAAACAACACAACGAAAGAAAACGCUGAAUAACUUCUCUCUUACUCUGACAGACAUGAAGUCUUCCUGGGAAGCAUGUUAAAACUGCAAACUCCUAGGGCAGGACCACUGAGAUUUAGAUCUGAUGGUCAUAUGCCACCCAGGAACCCCCAUUUUAAUUUUUGUUUUAAUUUAAUUUAAUUUUUUUAAAUAUAGAGACAGGGCCUCACCAUGUUACCCAGGCUGGUCUCAAACUCCUGGGCUCAGGCAGUUUUCCUGCCUCGGCCUCCCAAAGUGCUAGGAUUACAGGUGUGAGCCACCUGGCCCUCUCCCAUUUUUAUUUUUUAUUUUUUGUUCGUUUAUUUAUUUUACUUUUUUUUUUUUUAAAGACAGUGUUUCACCAUGUUGGUCAGGCUGGUCUUGAACUCGCCACCUCAGGUGAUCCACCUGCCUUGGCCUCCAUUGGAUUACAGGCAUGAGUCACCGUGCCCGGCCUGUUUGUUUAUUUUUGAGACAAAGUCUCGCUUUGUUGCCCAGGCUGUGAUCUUGACUGCAAGUGAUCUGCCCACCUCAGCCUCCCAAAGUACUGGGAUUACAGGUGUGAGCCACCACUCCCCGCCUUUCCCCCCUUUUUUUUUUAAUUUUAAAUUUUUGAUUUUUGUCAUGGAAUUUCACUCUAGUCACUUAGGCUGGAGUGCAAUGGUGCAAUCUCAGCUCACCACAACCUCUGCCUCCCAGGUUCAAGCGAUUCUGCUACCUCAGCUUCCGGAGUAGCUGGGAUUACAGGCAUGCGCCACCAUGCCCAGCUAAUUUUGUAUUUUAGUAGAGAUGGGGUUUCUCCAUGUUGGCCAGGCUGGUCUUGAACCCUUGACUGCAAGUGAUCCGCCCACCUCAGCUUCCCAAAGUACCGGAAUUAUAGGCGUGAGCUGUGCCUGGCCGUCCCCAUUUUUAUGGUAAACAUUCCACACAGGGCUCCUGCCAGCCCUCCAAGCUUCCCACUUUGAGCACAGUCUGCUCUGUCGACUCCCUGGAUUGCUUAUUGCUGCUGGCUGUCUUCCCCCUUUUCCAAAUUCCAUAUUUUUCUUGGAGGGGGGUUGAGUUAGGCUUUAUUCCACAUAUUUAUUUAAUGUGCGGGAUCCAAGGAGACAAAGCGAUGGUGCAGGGCCCUGUUGUUCAUCAAGUGCAUUGUAUCUAAGUGUUUGGCCCCUGCCUUUUAGGUCUAGGUGCAGCCCCUCUCUCUACCUAAGAAAAUGGCUUUUGGCUAAAUUAGGAGUGCUCCAUCCUUUCUUCAUCGAGAUCUUCUCUUCAUGGUUCUCACCUGAACUGAGAAAAUAGGAUAUGAGCAUGAAUUACUGGUCAUUAAAACUGAUAGUGGAGUCAGGCAUGGCAGCUCAUGCCUGUAAUCUCAGUAUUUUGGGAGGCUGUGGAGGGAGGAUAACUUGAGGCCAGGAGUGGAGAGCAGCCUGGGCAACAUAGCAAGACCCCAACUCUCCAAAAUACAAUAGCUGGGUAUGGUGGCAUGCACCUGUAGUCCUACCUACUAGAGAGGCUGAGGUGGGAGGAGAGUUUGAGCCCAGGAGGUCAAGGCUACAGUGAGCCAUGAUCAUGCUACUGCACUCCAGCCUGGGUGACAGAGCAAGACCCUGUCUCUACAAACAACAAACAUAGUGGUGAAUGGCGUUGCUCAUGGAAGGGAUUGCUUCUGUUUCUCUGGUGGCCCUGGAAUGAACACUGAAUGGUACUCGAGAGGGCAGCCAUGGCUCCUCCAUCACUCAGCAGCUCAAGGUGCACAUUCCUUCCUGGUUGGCUGUGAAUUUAGGCUUUCCCAGUAAAGCCACAUCGCUUUUUGAAUGAAUAAAUAUAUCUAUGCUAGUUCACAGGGUUUUUAGUUGCCAUCUUGCCUGUGCGCUCUUGAACUUUUGAGUUCUUUGCAUUUAGCAGUGUCCAGACAUUCAGGCCUGGAGCCCGUGGAGUGCCUGCGCUUCCCUCCAUGCUCCUGGUCCAGUGGAAAGCAGGACGUGUCCCGGCCCUCAGGCCUUGGUCUUCUGGUUGCAGAACGGAGGGGUUGACCUCACCUAAACCUUCCAAAAAGCAGAUGGUCAGACUCUCUUCCCUUCAAACUCCUCUCUGCCCUGACUCACACCUGGGCCAUUUCAUCCAGUGAGAUUGAAGGAGGAGCAAGGAAGUCCGUGUUUCCCCUCCAUGAUGCGGGACAGGAAGCUGGACUCAGUCUCUUCCACAGGGCCAGGAAGGAUAGUCCCUGACUGCCCAUCUUGGUUUUGGGAGAGAGGAAAACCAGUGCCCAGUCUGGGAAAUGAGGGUUUGGGGGACUGUGGUAAAAUAGAGGACAGGACUCUGCAGGUCAGGGAUAGAGGUGCAUUCAGAGGGCCAGGUGGUUGCUCUUUGCAGCUUCAGCAGCACCUUGGACAUAAUUGCUGCUGUGUAAACGUGUUGAUUGACAGAGGUGCAGGUAAAAACCUCAAAACAGCUGGGCUUAAGUAUGGUCCAAGGAAAUCUCUGGGAUGGAAUGAAAAAAAAUUUUUAACCUGUUAUUGUCAGCCUGGCCAACAUGAUGAAACCCCAUCUCUACAAAAAUACAGCAACAACAACAAAAUUAGCCAGGUGUGGUGGCUAUAAUCUCAGCUACUCUGGAGGCUGAGCCAGGAGAAUUUCUUGGACCUGGGAGGCAAAGGUUGCAGUGAGCCAAGGUCACGCCACUGCACUCCAGCCUGGGCAACAGAGCAAGACACACACACACACUUUUCUCUCUCUCAAAAAAAAAAUUGUGGGUGGGCACGGUGGCUCAUGUCUGUAAUCCCAGCACUUUGGGAGGCUGAGGUGGGCAGAUCACGAGGUCAGCAGUUCGAGACCAGCCUGACCAAUAUGGUGAAAUCCCAUCUCUACUAAAAGUACAAAAAUUAGCCAAGUGUGGGAGCACACACCUGUAAUCCCAGCUACUUGGGAGGCUGAGGCAGGAGAACCACCUGAACCUGGGAGGCAGAGGUUGUAGUGAGCCAAGAUCACACCACUGCACACUCUAGCCCUGGGUGACAGAGCGAGACUCCACCUAAAAAAAAAAAAUUGUUGUUGUUAUACAAAAUAAACAGAAGUAAACAGAAGACUCUCAGGAACCAGCACAUUCCUGUCACCCAGAUGCCACAGUUACCAGCUCAUGGCCAGUCUUGUCUCUAUGCCCCCAGCUUCUUCCUCUGUUAUCUGUAUCAUUCUGAAGCCCGUUGCACAGGUUGUAGCAUCCCAUUUGUUAACAUGUCUGGAUGUAUCUUUAAAAGAUCAGAAUUCCGAGCUGGAUGGGUAUAGGGAUGCUUCUGGAAGGAAUGCCGUGAUGGCUGUGCAGGGAGAGAGCCCCAGAUCCAGUUCAAAUUUGUAUUGGCUGGUGAUGGUGGUACUGGGAAAACGACCUCCGUGAGACGUCCUUUGACUGGUGAAUUUGAGACGUAGCCAGCUUGGAUGUUGAGGCUUAUCCCCUAGUGUUCCGCACCAGCAGAGGACUCUUAAGUUCAAUGUGUGGACACAGCCACCAGGGGGAGUUCGGUGGACUGGGAGAUGGCGAUUAUAUCCAUGCCCAGUGUGCCCUCAUAAUGUUUGGUGUGACAUCGAGAGCUACUUACAAGAAUGUGCCUACCUGGCAUAGAGAUCUGUGUGAGAACAUCCCUGUCGUGUUAUGUGGCAACAAAGUGGACAUUAAGGACAGGAAAGUGAAGGCAAAAUCCAUUGUCUUCCACCGAAAGAAGAAUCUUCAGUACCACGACACUUCUGCCAAAAGUAACUGCACCUUUGAAAAGCCCUUCCUCUGGCUUCCUGGGAAGCUCACUGCAGAUCCUAACUUGGAUUUGUUGCCAUGCCUGCUCUUGCCCCACCAGAGGUUGUCAUGUGCCCAGCUUUGGCAGCACAGGAUGAGCACGACUUAGAGGUUGCUCAGGCAACUGCUCUCCCAGAUGAGGAUGAUGACCAGUGAGAAGGAAGCUGGAGCCCAGCGUCAGACGUCUAGUUUGAUAGGCAGCUGUCCUGUGAUGUCAGUGGUGCAGCGUGUGUGCAUUAUUAUCUAGCUAAGCAUCACAUGUGCUUCAUCUGUGGGGUGCUGAAGGAGAUGAGUGGGCUUCGGAGUGAACGUGGCAGUUUUAAAUAUACCUUCACUGUUCAGACCUGCAUAUUUAGCUGUUUAGGAACGCAGUUGAUUCCUGGAGUUUCGAAUGUAAGACUGCUGCAGUCACAUCACAACCUUCAGUGGUAAAAUCUUGUUGGUCACUAUCAUUCCCAUAUUUUUCGUUUAGAAUCAGAAUAAAGUUGUAUUUUUUUUUUAAAGAUGGGGUUUCACCACAAUGGCCAGGCUGGUCUUGAACUCCUGACCUCAGGUGAUCCACUCACCUCGGCCUCCCAAAGUGCUGGGAUUACAGGUGUGAGCCACCGCACCCGGCCAAUAAAGUUGUAUUUCAAAUAUCUAAAAUAUAAAAAAAUAAAUAAAAGAUCAGAAUUCUUUUUUUUUUUUUUUAACAUAACCGAAGUACGAUGAUCACAUCUAACAAAUGAAUGGUGGGUUCGAAUGAAGUUUAUUUAAAUGAGCCAGUGCUCUCCCUGAGUUUGCAGGAAGUAGAAAAGGGAAUGCAGGCUGGGCCUGCUGGCUCACGCCUGUAAUCCCAGUACUUUGGGAGGCUGAGACAGACAGAUCACAAGGUCAGGAGUUCGAGACCAGCCUAACCAACACAGUGAAACUCCAUCACUACUGAAAAUACAAAAAAAAUUAGCUAGGCUUGGUGGCACGCACCUGUAAUCCCAGCUACUCAGGAGGCUGAGGCAGGAGAAUUGCUUGAACCUGGAAGGCAGAGGUUGCAGUGAGCCAAGAUUGCGCUACUGCACUCCAGCUUGGUGACAGAGCAAGACUCUAUCUCAAAAAAAAAAAAAAAAAGAAAAAGAAAAGGGAAUGCAGAGGGCUGAGAAAGGGGCUGAGCAUGUACUUCCAGCAGCCAAGCUGGGCUCUGUUUAGUUUUGAGAAACCAAAGAGAGGUUAACAGCUCUCAGCUGGGAGAGGAUCUGGGCCCUUCUCAAGGAAGGAGGGCUGGGUGUUCUGACACUUGCCUCAGCAGGGGCCCUGCAGUGUAAAGGCCCAGGGGUGUGGGUUGGGGAUUUGCUAAUGGGAGCACAGUCAGUUCCCAGGUAUCCACAUUAGGAGGAGGAAGAGCCACUAGAAAGCAACAUAGGAAAAUGAUGGUCUUGUUCUUCAGGAAGCGUGAACAAUUUGGAUUUAGACAUGACCUAUGACCCAUGCAGAUGACUAUGGCUUACCCCCGAGAGACCUGUAUAAAUCAGUGCUAACUGAAAGAGGCUCAGGGUAAAUGGGUCACUGGUGAGUUUGAAUGCACGUGCAGAGCUCAGAGGAGAUUGAUGUUCUGUUCUCAGAGAAACUGAGUUGGAUUUUCACACUGAGGGUGACAGCGUUUGUUCUGAGCGCCUCCUCAUGGGACUUUAGCCUGCCAACCAAGCUGAGGAGCAAGCCCAGAAGUCGCCACCUUAUUUCAGUAGAAAAGUAGGCCUUAUGAAAUAUGCCUCUGGGGGUGGGGGUUCUUCUUAUGAAGAGGUCAGAGCAUAAUAAAAGUGGUUGUCUAUAGUUUAAAACAUUCUUGCAGCUGGGCACGGUGGCUCAGGCCUGUAAUCCCAGCACUUUGGGAGGCCGAGGCAGGCGGAUCACUUGAGGUCAGGAGUUUGAAACCAGCCUGACCAACAUGGUGAAACCCCGUCUCUACUAAAAAUACAAAAAUGAGUUGGGCGUAGUGUCAUGUGCCUGUAGUCCCAGCAACUCGGGGGGCUGAGGUGGGAGAAUCGCUUGAACCUGGGAGGUGGAGGUUGCAGUGAGCAGAGAUCAAGAUCAUGAUAUUACACUGCAGCCUGGGGGACAAGCGUGAAACUUCAUCUCAAAAAAACAACAACAAAAACAUUUUUGCCAUUAAGGUAGUUUAAGCAUCAUUUUUCUGCCAGGGCAAUUACCUGGAUUUCUAAUUGUUUCCUUUGUAACUAGAGGGCAUAAUAGUACUUUCCUUUGUAAUUAUCAGAUUGGAGAAGUUUAUUCUUUGUUGCUAACCUUCUCAUGGAUCUGUAGGCAUGAGAACCAGACUCUGAUGCAGGCAAGGCUGUCAAGUCAGGAUGUCACUAAUUCCAGAGGCGGAGGAUCUGGGGGGCCAGCCCAGAUGCCUGACCUAAACCUGAGGCUGGCAGGACUGUGACAUUUCCCUGGGUACCCACUGCAUUUCACUUGAACAGUUUGGAAAGGCUGAGUAUUCUGGGCUGUGGAACUGGAAGUCUGGGCUCUGAGGGGGCCUCUCAGUCAUUUUGCUAAAUCACAGAACCAUGCCUGGUGUUAUGAACAAGUAUGGCUUAGUAAAGCGGACACAAAAUUUGGGAUCCUGGCUUUGCCCUUGAGUCACUGUGUGACUUUGAACAAGGCCCUCUACCUCUCUGAGCUACAAUUUCUUUGCCUAUCACAGGGAUGAGUAAUGUCUGCAUCAUGAGAUGGUUGUGAAGGUAAAUAACAAUAAUAUUUUUAAAUUAGGUGGGUACAGUGGCUCACACCUGAAUUCCCAGCACCCUGGGAGGCUAAGGUAGGUGGAUCACCUGAGGUCAGGAGUUAGAGACCAGCCUAGCCAACAGGGCAAAACCCUGUCUCUACUAAAAAUACAAACAUUAGCUGGGUCUAUGAUGCAGGUCUGUGGUCCCAGGUACUCCGGAGGCUGAGGCAGGAGAAUCACUUGAACUCGGGAAGCAGAGAUUGGGUGAGCAGAGAUUGUGCCACUGCAUUCCAGCCUGGGCAACAGAGCGAGACUCCAUCUCAAAAAAAAAAAAUAAAUAAAUAAUACACGACAGGUCUAGGUGAGAGGGAAGCACACGGAGCAGCUUCCAAAUGCCAGUCGUCAUCACUACCAUUCCAGGCUCUUCAGCUCAGGUCCUCAGCUGACAAUAGAUCUGUGUGUGAUGGUCUCAUAUGUAUGGGGUGUCUUCUACCUACACUGGAUACGCCUUCAUGGACAGUGAUAUGGUUUGGCUGUGUCCCACCCAAAUCUCACCUUGAAUUGUAAUAAUCCCCAUGUAUCAAGGGCAGGGCCAGGUGGAGAUAAUUGAAUCAUGGGGUGGUUUCCUGCAUACUGUUCUCAUGGUAGUAAAUAAGUCUCACAAGAUCUGAUGGUUUAUAAAGGGGAGUUCCCCUGCUCAUGCUCUCUUGCCUGCUGCCAUGUAAGAUGUGACUUUGUUCCUCAUUCCCCUUCCACCAUGAUUUUUUUUUUUUUUUUUGAGAUGGGGUCACACUCUGUUGUCCAGGCUGGAGUGCAGUGGUGAGAUCUCGGCUCACUGCAACCUCCGCCUCCCAGGUCAAGCAAUUCUCGUGCCUCAGCCUCCCAGGUAGCUGGGAUUUCAGGCAGGUGUCACCAUGCCUGCCUAAUUUUUGUAUUUUUAGUAGAAACGGGAUUUCACCAUGUUGGCCAGGCUGGUCUCAAACUCCUGACCUCAAGUGAUCUGCCUGCCUCGGCCUCCCAAAGUGCUGGGAUUACUGGCGUGAGCCACUGUGCUGCUGGCAGCCUUCCACCGUGAUUGUGAGGUCUCUCCAGCCAUGUGGAACUGUGAGUCCAUUAAACCUCUUGCCUUUAGAAAUUAUCCAGUCUCCAACACUGGUGGAUCACGAGGUCAAGAGAUUGAGACCAUCCUGGUCAACAUGGUGAAACCCCGUCUCUACUAAAAAUACAAAAAUUAGCUGGGCAUGGUGGGACGCGCCUGAAGUCCCAGCUACUCGGGAGGCUAAGGCAGGAGAAUUGCUUGAACCUAGGAGGCAAAGGUUGCAGUGAGCCGAGAUCGUGCCAUUGCACUCCAGCCUGGGUAACAAGAGUGAAACUCCAUCUCAAAAAAGAAAAAAACCAAAAAAACCCAGAAAUUACCCAGUCUCGGGUAUGUUCUUAUUAGCAGCAUGAGAAUAGACUAAUACAAACAGGGAUCUGUUUUACUAAUUCAUUUUUAAAAAAUUAUUUUUUCAUGGUUUUCUAUCCAGGGUCAAUUGGUGGCAGGGAAAAAACCCCGGUGAGACUGGCUGAAGCACAAGUGGGGACUAUGCUCAGCGUGCAGGAAGUGGAGCGUCCAGGGGAGGGGUGCGUUUGUAGCUGCUCUCUCUGACAACCCAUUGCUGGUUCUCUCCCGGUGUCCCCUCUGUGUCCUUUCCCUCUGUAGCCUGGCUUCUUUGUUCCUCCAUAGUUUUGUUCUGCAGGUGGGCCUGGCCUGCCCUGGCUGUGCCUGGCCUAGUGGCUGCAAUCUCUGGCUCUAGCUUCAAAUUCUUGAAUGAGAGGCUCUGGUGCAGCUCAGAGCAGGUUCCCUGCCCUGGCCUAAUCAAGCAUGAUCAGAGCAGGGCAAGGUCAUGCCUGAGGAGCCACCAAAGUGUGUGUUGCAAGGAAGCCUUAAAUCCUGUCCCCAUUGCUGGAUCUUCCUGACACUUGGUCUCUUCCAAGGAGCCUUUGGUGACCACCUCUAGUUCCCUCCCAUCGGCAGGAGGGCAGGCGAAACUUGUUUGGACUCCAUGUGUGCCAAGCCUGCCCCUCACCUGUAUCCAGCCCAGGCCAAGGAAUCAUGGUGGGCUCAGAACCUCCUCUGGAGGGAGGCCAGUCUGUCAAGCAGACAUGACAACCACAGAUUGUGGAAGAGAAACCUUGGAAGACAAGACAAGUUGCUGAAAGCACAGGCAGGAAUCAUGGAAGCUUCCAGAGGCUUCGGAGGGGCAGCCUGGGGUGUUGGGGAGGCCUGGGGAGCAUAGGAAGGGCUGAGUUUAGUGGAGGCUGGCUCUCAGCAGCACAGUGGCGGCCCCUGUCCACAUAUGGCACACCUGAACACAGUGGCACCAGCAGCCCAAGGCGUCCAUGUGGUUCCAAAGCCUCAGGCUGGUGUGAGCUACUGUACUCCUCUAUGAGGCCACCCACCAGUGGGGGCGCCAAUGGGUGGGCUCCAGGCUGGCUUCAUCUGUUAGCCUGGCUUGCUUCCCUUGUUCUGUGGCCAGUGUUCUCUGGUGAAGGCAUCCUGUUUGCAACAUGAGUUCCACUGCAGAUGGUUUGAGAAACACUGGUCCAGAGCUUCCACCUGAAUCAGUAUUGGCUGUAGAAACUCAGACUGAGCCUGAAGGUGGGAAGGGCUCAGGCUUGGGCUCAGGUAUGGCAAGAGGCAAGACCUGGUGUUUCAUGAUCUCCCUGCUCUCCACGGCUUGGGGCCAGUUCUCCUUCCACAGAAAGGAUGGAGCCUGUGCUCAUCCACAGGCCUCAAUGCCUAGACACAGAAGGAACACUCUGUCCUGCCCCCAGAUGUUUGGUGUACCCAGGGCUAUAGCUCAGUAGGCCGCCUUAGUCCAGGUGAGAACAGAGAAGGGGACAGGGCACCAUCAGGCAUCCACAAGCUGGAGAACCAGGCCAGAGACAAGCCCCUGGGGCAGGUUGUGGUCUGACCUUGCAGGCUGGAGUUGGCGAUUCGCCGCGACCUCAGGCACUGGCCCCUGGAGAGCCUGGGAUGGAGCCUGCAAGCUGGGACUCCCAUAGGUAAGCUCUGGUUUUAGUGAUUGAGUGGUAGGUUUUCCUUCCCCCACAGCAGCCACCUUACAUUUUUCUUUGGAAGACAGUCAGAAUCACUUGACUGCUCCGAAAUGCGGUAGCCUCCCUGAGGAACAAGGGUUUUCGUUUUAAUUAGGCUCUUGAGCCUCAGUACUGUGCCCACCGUGGAAGACCUGCAGCCAGAGAUGAGCCCAUCUUUCCUUGUCUCUGUUAAGCACAGAAGCGGGGUGGCCAGGCUGGCCUGUGGGAGGUCUUGUCAUGAGUGAGGCAGUUUGGUGUCAUGGAGAACUCCUGUGCACAGAGAUGCUUCGCCAGCUCAGCCGAAGGUGUCACCUUCAGGGCCUGGCCACAGAAGCCCUCAAGUCCUACCUGUCCUGGGAGCAGCCCUGCUGGCUCUGGGCAAGCCUGGGACUGGUUAGGCCUGGCUUUGAGGCCACUCUGAGGUCUGGGUUUCCCUCUCCUCAGCUGAGUGAUGUCCACUGUGGCCUCUGCCUCUCUUGGCCUCAGCACCUCGGCUGUUAGCUGGCACGAGCCCCGUUUACUAUGAGGUGUCACGCAUCACACAGGGAACAGCUACUGCUGUUAAACACUUUUUUUUUUUUUUUUUGAGACAGUCUUGCUCAGUUGCCCAGGCUGGAGUGCAGUGACACAAUCUUGGCUCACUGCAACCUCCACCUCCCAAGUUUAAGCGAUUCUCCUGUCUCAGCCUCCUGAGUAGGAGGCCACCUGCCACCAUGCCUGGCUAAUUUUUGUAUUUGUAUUUUUAUGUAUGUAUGUAUGUAUUUAUUUUUGAGAUGGAGUUUCUUAUUACCCAGGCUGGAGGGCAGUGGCAUAAUCUUGGCUCACUGCAACCUCCACCUCCUGGGUUCAAGUUAUUCUCCUGCCUCAGCCUCCCAAGUAGCUAGGAUUCAGGCAUCUACCACCACACCCAGCUAUUUUUUUUUUUUAUUUCACCAUGUUGGCCAGGCUGUCUUGAACUUCUGAGCUCAAGUGAUCCUCCUGCCUCAGCCUCCCAAAGUGAGCCAUGACACCCAGCCUCUUAAGUGCAUUUUAUCCAGGACACCCUCCUGACUCCCCAGCCCAGGUAUGCUUCCCAUGUAGUGGAAAGAGUGCUAUAUGACUCCUUCAUAGCACUCACCCCAGGUGCGCUGAUGGUUCACCUGUACACUUAUUUGUUUAGGGUUUGACUUCCCUGAUAAUCCAUAGCAAGAGAAGGGUGGGAAUUGUGACAACUGGCUUGCCACUGAAUGCCCAGUGCCUAGCACCUUGCUUGUCUUGGAGUAGACAUGCUCGAAUUAUUUGUUGUAGGAAUUGGGGAGGGAAGGAGGGAGAGAGAGAUUCCAUGAAUGAUUGAGCGUGAGAAGUGGGCGCUGGUGCUCUGGCCAGACACAGUGGUCACUUUGGUCCACAGACUCUGGGUGUAGAGCCUCUGGGCCACUUGGAUAAGCAGUCUCAGGGUCCUCACAGAGCCAACUUGGAAGAGCAAGUCCUUCCAAAGGAUAUCACUGAGUGUGGGAGGCCAUGAGGGACUUCAAGGUGACUCCAGAGAGCCAAGCCAGAGAGGCACCCCAGCAGGGGCAGUGGAGUCCUUAGCAAGGGGCAGUCAGUGGCAGUCACCAUAUUUAGCCCUCCAGCCACUGCCAUUUGUAUGAAGUACAGUGGAGGCCAGGGAUGCUUGGCUGUCGUGCUAACACAGGUGUCUGAGUUUUUACCUAUGUAAGAUCAAUGCUUAAUGGUCUUCAUCUCCCAAGUGGCGGUCUAGUGUCAUGGGUGAGCAUAACACCCAUGAGAGGUGGCUUAUAAGAGACAGGCCAAGGCUUGGACUCCCCAGUGGGGCUGGGUGCUUCCUUGGCUACUUAGCUGUGGUACCUGGGCAAGCCCACCAGCUCCUCCAAGCUCUAGCUGCCUUGUCUCUAAAAUGGACAGUUCCAAUCCUAGCCUACCUGACAUCCGCUGUGAGGACAGAUGAGUGUGUGCGGGAAAGGGUUGCCUAGGAUCACCACUGGGGUUGUUGUCAUUACAGGGGUAGCCAGCAAUAAAGCUGGGCCCUUCUCAGCUCCUCUGUGAGGCGACGGUCCUUGUGGAGGGCAUUGUCAUUGGCGUGUGUGCCCAGGCACCAAGCCAGCCAGGUGGUUUGUGUAAGGGACGUGCCACUACCUAGGGCCCUUGAGUCAGAAUGCUGGGAGCAAAAGGCGUGUCCCCAAACAUUUCUGCCUUUUAAGAAAACUGUUUGAUGUUUUGUGAAAAUAUUCAAUGGAAAAAGAAAAGCACAGACCGUGCAAAUCUCAAAUCUACUAACCCAGCAAUAAUGACUGUUAAACCUUUACUAAAAGUAUGACAGACAAUCUAGAUAUAGAAUUUUAUAGCAAUGGGAGGGUCCAAUAUUUGGUUUUAUAACUGACUCAUUAAACUUGACAAUAGGUUGUGGACAUUCCAUGCCAAUGAGUAUACAUCUGUGGCACCACUCUUUAUUAAAAAAUCAAUUUUAUUGUGUAUACUUAGGGCAUUCAAUAGAUAAUAAAAUGGUUACCAAACAGUGAGGAGCUAUGUGAGAUGAUAGCACCACUUUUUAUAGUAUUUUAUCAUAGAAAACGUCUAACAUUUCUAUGCAUGUAAAUCCACACAUACAUGGUCUCAGUUCUCAUCACUUAGCUUUCAGUCAUUUUCAAUUGUGGCCAAUCUUAUUUCAUCUCAGCCCUUACUAUUUCCCCCUGUUAAUGACUAUUUUAAUAUUGUGGCAAAUACAUACGACAUUGAAUUUACCAUUAAAGGCACUUAGUACAUUCACAGUGUUGCACGGCCAUCACCUCUCCCUGGCUCCAGAACAUUUUCAUCACUCCGAAGGAAACCCUGCACCCAUUAAGCAGGGACUCCCCAUUUUCUCUCUCUCAGCCCCUGGCAACCACUAAUCUGCUUUCCCCACUAUUAUUUUACAGCAAACCCCAUCUGUGCACAUUUCACUGUGUAUCUCUAAAAAACAAGGAGUCUUUUAAAAACGUAAAUUCAGCCAGGCGCAGUAGCUCAUGCCUGUAAUCUCAGCACUUUGGGAGGUCGAGGCAGGUGGAUCACUUGAGGUCAGGAGUUCAAGACCAGCCUGGCCAACAUGGUGAUACCCCAUCUCUACUAAAAAUAAAUAAAUAAAUAAAUAAAUAAAUAAAAUAAGAGUCAUCUGGUCCUGGUGGCGAGCGCCUGUAAUCCCAGCUACUUGGGAGGCUGAGGCAGGAGAAUCGCUUGAACUCGGGAGGCAGAUGUUGCAGUGAGCCAAGAUUGUGCCACUGCACUCCAGCCUGGGUGAAAGAGCAAGACUCUGUCUCAAAAAACAAAAAAUGAAAUGAACAAACAAAAAAACCCCACAAAUUCAAGACCAUGAUCCUACCUGAAAUCACAAUGCUUUUUUUUUUUUUUUUAAGACAGUGUCUCCCUCUUGUCGCCCAGGCUGGAGUGCAGUGGCAUGAUCCCAGCUCACUGCAACCUCCCUCUACCUCCCAGUUCAAGCAAUUCUCCUGCCCCAGACUCCCGAAUAGCUGGGAUUACAGGUACCCACUACCACACCUGGCUAAUUUUUGUGCUUUUAGUAGAGACAGGGUUUCACCAUGUUGACCAGGCUGGUCUUGAACUCCUGAUCUUAGGUGAUCCGCCUGCCUCGGUCUCCCAAAGUGCUGGGAUUACAGGCGUGAGCCACUGCAUCCAGCCUGAAAUCACAAUUCUUUAGUAUCAUUAUUCAAAUGCCACAGUAUAAAUGUCAUUGUUUUCAAUUUUUAAUUUUUGUGGGAGCAUAUAGGUGUAUAUGUUUAUGGGAUAGGUAAGAUGUUUUUUGAGGGGAGGUUGUUUUUUUUCUGAGACAGAGUCUUGCUCCAUCACCCAGGCUGGAGUGCAGUGGUGCCGUCUUGGCUUAUUGCAACUUGCAAUAAGUGAUUCUCAUACCUCAGUGUCCUGAGUAGCUGGGACUACAGGCAUGCACCACCACGCCUGGCUAAUUUUUGUAUUUUUAAUAGAGAUAGGGCUUCACCAUGUUGGCCAGGCUGGUGUUGAACUCCUGGCCUCAAGUGAUCUUCCCACUUCAGCCUCCCAAAGUGCUGGGAUUACAGGCAUGAGCCACUAUGCCCAGCCUCAUUUUUCUUUUUCUUUUCUUUUUUUCUUUCUUUCUCUUUUUUUUUUUUACUUGAGACAUGGUCUCACUCUGUCACCCAGACUGGAGUGCAGUGGUAUGUUCUCAGCUUACUGCAACCUCCACCUCUUGUGCUCAAGCAAUCCUCCCACCUCAGCCUCCCAAAGCUGGGACCGCAGGUGCAUGCCACCAUACUUGUCUAAUUUUCAUAUUUUUAGUAGAGAUGGGAUUUCACCAUGUUGCCCAAGCUGGUCUCCAACUCCUGAGUUCAAGUGAUCUGCCCGCCUCUGUCUCCCAACAUGCUGAUAUUAUAAGCAUGAACUACUGCACCUGGUCUAAUAAAUGUCAAUGUUAAUGAUCCAUGAUAUUUCAUUAAAUAGAUAUAGCUCACUUUACUGAAACAUUUUUGAAACUGUUUGCCAGUUUAUUCAAUUGCAUUCUAGUUAUUGGCAGUGUUUCUCUAUUAUCAACAGAAGGUACUGGGACAAGCAUUUCUGUGCUCACAUUUUUUUUUCUUUUUUUUCCCCCCACUGGUGUGGUUAUUCCCUAAGGGUAAAUUCUUAGAAAAUGGAUGAGUGGGUCAAGUGCAUGCUUCACAUUUUGAUACUGUUGCUGAGUUAUCCUUCAUCAAUGUUGUUCCGAUUUACACUCCCCUUGGCAGAAAAUGCAUGGUUUAUUUAAGGAAAGAUAGUUCCUGGAAAUAUUCAUGUGUAAUCCUUUGACCUGCCUCAAGUAAAAGUACACCACUGCCCAAGACCAUGGGAACCCAUCUCUUGCAUCAGUGUGACCUGGAUGUGAGACAUGGAGUUCAAGGAGACCAUUUUGGAGCUUUAAGAUUUGACUGCCCCACUGGAUUUCAGACAUGCAUAGGGCCUGUAGCCUCUUUGUUUUGGCCAGUUUCUCCAGUUUGGAAUGGCUGUAUUUACCCAAUGCCUGUACCCCCACUGUAUCUAGAAAGGAACUAACUUGCUUUGGAUUUUACCGGCUCAUAAGCAGAAGGGACUUACCUUGUCUCAGAUGAGACUUUGGACUGUGGACCUUUGAGUUAAUGCUAAAAUGAAUUAAGACUUUGGGGGACUGUUGGGACGGCGUGAUUGGUUUUGAAAUGUGAAGGCAUGAGAUUUGGGAGGGACUGGAGGAGGAAUGAUAGGGUUUGGCUGUGUCCCCACCUACAUCUCAUCUUAAAUUCCCAUGCAUUGUGGGAGGGACCGGGUAGGAGGUGGUUGAAUUAUGGGGGUGGGUCUUUCCUGUGCUGUUCUUGCGAUAGCGAGUAAGUCUCACAAGAUCUGAUGGUUUUUAAAAAGGGGAGUUUCCCUGCACAAGCUCUCUUCUCUUGUCUGCUGCUGUGUGAAAUGUGCCUUUUACCUUCUGCCUUGAUUGUGAGGUCUCCCCAGCCACGUGGAGCAGUAAGUCCAUUGAACCGCUUUCUUUAGUGAGUUGCCCAGUCUUGGAUAUGUCUUUAUCAGCAGUGUGAGAAUGGACUAAUACAACUAUUCUUCUGUCUGUACAGAAAUACUCAGUUGCACUGGGCUGAGGGUCUCCCAGAUGCAACAGCAGCUCAAGGCCAUCGCUUGAUAACCAGAUGCUGGAGAAAAAUGCCAUAGUGCCCACAGCGACAGCCCAUGCAGCCCUUCUGCUAAGGGAGGGCAGGGAGCAGUCAGGGAGAGUGACGGUAGCAGCUGGGGAGAGCAGGUGGGCAGAAAGCCCCAUUAGUGGAGCUUGGCUGGUUUACACACGUGCUCAUCUGUCUGGAAGCCCAGGAAGCUGUUGGGAGGAAAUCGAUGCUCUGUCUUUUGGGGGAGAGGGAGGAAGAAGGAAUUGGUGAGAAAAAUGAUCCUUCACUAUUCACUUCAACUUGAUUUUCUGUGCUAUUAAAAAGGUUAUAGUGACGUUAAAGGAGUUUAUUUAUUUAUUUGAGGCAGAGUUUCACUCCAUCACCCAGGCUGGAGUCCAGUGGCACAAUCUCGGUUCACUGCAACUCCACCAUCCAGGUUCAAGAGAUUCUCGUGCCUCAACCUCCCGAACAGCUGGGACUAUAGGCAUGUACCGGCAUGCCCAGCUAAUUGUUUUUUUUAGUAGAGAUGGGGUUUCACCACCUUGGCCAGGCUGGCCUCAAUCUCCUGACCUCAAUUCAUCUGCCCACCUCGGCCUCCCAAAGUACUAGGAUUACAGGUGUGAGCCACAGUGCCCAGCAUUAAAGGAGAUUUAAAAGAAGAAAUAUAAACCUUACCGUGAUCCCAGUGAGUGCUGUUUCUCCAGGACCUGCUCAUCCUGCCUGUACGCAUGCACGCGCGAGCACACACACACACACACACACACACACACACACACACACUCCGCUGACACCACCACGACCACCACUGCGUUCCCCUUCCCCUGGGCAUACCAGCAUCAGCAUUCUGGCUACUCUUCAGUUUUUGUUGUCACUGUCUGCUUUUGCUUCUGCUCUGUGGAGAGCUUGGCGCCAGUUUUCUUAUCCAGCCAUCCAGUAGUUGGACACUUGAGCAGCCUGCAAUUAUGGCCUGUUAUAACACCCGCCACCCAUGUCCAUUCUUGGAGUGCCCUUUCUUUGAUAACACUUCCCUAGGGAAAAUUCUGUUGGCUGGUGGAUGUGAGUGGUAUUGUGGCUCUUGAUUUCCCCUGUCCUCUAGCCCAGUUGUUUUAAAAAAAUAGAAGUGAGUGCCUAGAAAGGCACAAGAUAACCACUACAGUAUGAGAAGAAAACAUUAGAAGUUCUUUUCAAACCGGGCACGGUGGCUCACACCUGUAAUCCCAGCACUGUGGGAGGCCAAGCUGUGUGGGUGACUUGAGGUCAUGAGUUCGAGAGCAGCCUGGCCAACAUGGUGAAAUCCUGUCUCUACUAAAAAUAAAAAAAUUAGCCAGAUGUGGUGGUGGGCACCUGUGAUCCCAGCUACUUGGGAGUCUAAAGCUGGAGAAUCGCUUGAACCUGGGAGGCAGAGGUUGCAAUGAGCCAAGAUUGUGCCACUGCACUCCAGCCUUGGCAACAGAGUGAGACUCCAUCUCAAAAAAAAAAAAAAAAACUGAUUUAAUUUUAUCUUUAAAAAUUUUAGUUUUUAUAUAUGUUGUAUAAUAUACAUAAAGUGUAAGUCAAAUAGUACAACAUAUGUGUAAUCUAGAAACCAUUAUUCAUAUACUGAGGGCUCAUGUUUUUUGGAUGGGGACAUUUGCAAAUGUCUCCAGAGGGUGAUCCCAGGCAGCAUGGUCACCAAGUGCACUCCUGCCUCCGCCACUUGGCCUCCCUUCCCUUCCUGGGGUGCACUUGCAGCUGUGGGAGCUGGACAAAGUAACUCCAAGUGACAAGAACCCAUAUCUUGCCCUUCACUGAGAAAGCGCCAGAGAGAAAGGAAGUACUUUUUUUUUAAAGUAUCCUCAGUUCCUUUCUAGAAUGAAGUAGAAAUAGAGCUGAGGGGACAAAGGAGGGGUCCAGUCUCAUGCUUGAGCUAUGAGGACCUGUAGGACCCCCAGCCCCUUUGGUGGCUAGGUGGUUUUUUUUCCUGGUGAUAGGUGGUCCUUGCUGCCCACCCUGGCUCACCUGAGCGGCCCCUGCCCUUUGCACCUGUCUCCCCACAUGUGUCUCCCCACGCCUCUGACUCAGAAGUCCAGCUUGUCAUCGCCCCUCAGGCUCUCUCUUGCCUUUUGGUGUUCCUUUCCUCAUUGUUUUUCCUUUUAGAUGCGCAUUUUGUGCGUGUCAGUCAGAUUCUCAUUCUAUAUGAAGUGAAAACUUUUCAUCUAUUUGUCAAUUCAAAGCCAAAUCAAGAUGCCAGAAUUGAAGGAUCAUUCAUGCUGAGUGUUUGGUUUGGUCCUUGAGGGGCCCACAGCCCUGGUCGAGCAGAAAGGCGCUGUUAUUUAGCAUUAUUUGAAAACCACGAGUUACCUGGUACCAUUUGCUGCAGCCCGGUGCUAACGCUUCUGCUGUGACUACACCGCAGUGAUCCAUUUCCUCUCAGAAUGUGGCACAGUGAAGAUCCAGUAGCAUGUCCCAUGAAAAAUCUCAUCCAGGAGGGGUGCAGCUGCUGAGAAGCCAACCUCAUUCAAGAGUUUUCCCCAGCCCCUGCUAUGUGUGAAGAACCCAACACGCAGGAGAUGGAGUAAAUGCCAUAGCGCUGUGACUGGCAUUUUCCAUGUUGUUGUAAUGCACCCAGGCCACUAAGACUUCACUGAACUGUUUUUGAUUUGGUUUUAUUUUAGUUUUUUUGAGAUGGAGUCUUACUCUACUGCCCAGGCUUGAGCACAAUGGUGCCAUCUCAGCCCACUAUGACCUCCACCUCCCUGGUUCAAGCAAUUCUCAUGCCACAGCCUCUCAAGUAGCUAGGAUUACAGGCACCUGCCACCAUGCCCGGCUAAUUUUUGUGUUUUUAGUAGAGACAGCAUUUCGCCAUGAUAGCCAGACUGGUCUCGAACUCCUGACCUCAGGUGAUCCGUCUGUCUCGGCCUCCCAAAGUGCUAGGAUUAUAGGCGUAAGCCACCGCACCUGGCCUACAACUAAACUGUUUUAAUUGAACCCCUUUGGCAUUUGUGGAUCUAAGGUCUGGCAUUUCAAACAACUCAAAAGUAAAAGUGGGCCUCCAGUGGGCUGACCAGGGAGCUGGCUUUCAGCAGGAGGUGGGAGGCCUUGAGGGGCCCACACACAAGGUUUCGGCCUCAUGUAUGAUUUUUAUUUUAAUAUUUAAAAUGUUUUUGUUUUUACAUCCACUCAUACACACAGGAAGGGAGUAUGGAAGUCAUGCUUCUUUUAAAAGUAGCAGCCCUGUUCCCCGACCUUCCUCUCUUUCCAUCCUGUUCCCCAAAGCAGCCAUUCCUGACUUUAGUUAAUGCCCUGGUUCAUGCCAUGCACUGAGUCAUUUGUCCUGUGGCUCAGGCUCCAGCCUGAGGUAUGUGUGUGGAGAGACCCAGGAAUACCUGCUUGAGUAGGUAAUGUGUAAUCACAAAUGGAAUCCAAUCUGAUAUAUCUCUGCCUCCUAUAAAGAUCUUAGCAGCUUGGGCAGAGAUUCUCUGGGGGAUGUGAAUGGUGGCCCUGAGUGGACUGUGGACUACAUUGGCCUCAAGUGGGCUGACUGGGGAGUGGCAUCUGCCCAGUAGGGGAAGAUGGGGACCAGUGGCAAAGUGAGCCAUGAGAACACUGGGCUUCUAGCAGGAGAUAAGAGGUCUGACCACAGGAAGCUUCUGGGCCUCCUGAUCUCAGCGUGCUUGCAGUGAGUGUCCCAGCUGGAGAAUGUGUGGAAUAUAGAGUUUCUUCACGGACAACCACUCUUUAUUUUGUUUUCCAUCCAUGUGUUAAAAAAAAUUAACAGAAGAACGGGAAAAAAAAAUUAUAAGCUGGGCUCAGUGGCUUUUGCCCGUAAUCCCAGCACUUUGGGAGGCCGAGGCAGGUGGAUUACUUGAGGUCAGGAGUUUGAGACCAGCCCAGGCCAACAUGGUGAAACUCCAUCUCUACUAAAAAUACAACAAUUAGCCAGCCAUGGUGGAGGGCACCUGUAAUCCCAGCUAUUUGGGAGGCUGAGGCAGGAGAAUCAAUUGAACCCAGGAGAUGGAGGUUACAGUGAGCCAAGAUCAUGCCACUGCACUCCAGCCUGGGCGACAGAGCGAAACUCUGUCUCAAAAACAGAAAAUCGUAACUGGAGUGCAGUAAACUGCCUACAGUGUACAGUCUGAUCAGUUUUGACCUUUAAGCACCCAUGAAACCACUGCCAUAGUCAGGAUAAUGUACACAUUCAUCACCCCAAAUUCUUUCAGGCCCUUUUGUAAUUCCUCCUUAGCCCCUUCCACCUCCUGCAGACAACCAUUAAUCUACUUUUUGGUGUGAUAGCUUCCAUUUUCUAGAAUUUCUUUCUUUCUUUUCUUUCUUUCUUUCCUCCCUUCCUCCCUCCCUCCCUUUCUUUCUUUCUUUUUCCUGUUUUUUUUUUUUUUUUUUUUUUUUUGAGGUAGAGUUUUCGAUCUUGCUGUCCAGGCUAGAGUGCAGUGGUGCAAUCUUGGCUCACUGCAACCUCCACCUCCUGAGUUCAAGCAAUUCUCCUGCCUCAGCCUCCCAAGUAGCUGGGAUUACAGGCACAUGCCACAACACCCGGCUAAUUUUUUUUUAUUUUUGGUAGAGACCAGGUUUCACCGUGUUCGCCAGGCUGGUCUCAGACUCCUGACCUCAGGUGAUCUGCCUCAGCUUCCCAAAGUGCUGGGAUUACAGGCAUGAGCCACUGCACCUGGCUGCAUUUUCUAGGAUUUUAUACAAAUGGGAUUGUACUACAUGUACUCUAGUUGGCUUUUGUCACCCAGUGUAAUUAUUUUGAAAUUCAUCUGUGUUGUUGCACACAUCACUAGUUUAUUUUCAUUGCUGAGUAGUGUUUCAUUGUGUGGAUGCAUUUAGCUGUUGCCUGUGGAUGAACUUUUGAGUUGUUUCCAGGUUUGGCCAUAACAGAGCUGCUGUGAACAUUUGCAUUCAAGUCUUUCUGUGGACAUACAGGUUUUUUUCUCUUGGGCAAAUACCUAGGAAUGAAAUGGCUGGUUCAUAGGGUAGGUAUAUGUUUAACUUUUGAAGAAAUUGCCACAUCGUCUGCCAAAGUGGUUACACCAUUUUACAUUCCCAUAAGCAGCAUGAGAGUGUCCUAGGCUGGGGACGACAGAGUCGGCCAUCCCAGGACAACCUGAGAAAGUGUCAAACACAGAUUCUCCUGAUGAGCAACUACUCAUUUUGCCUUUUCAAAAAUGAUCGUAUGUUUUCUCAGGCAUGACAGUGUCUGAUAUGUCCUUUCUGCUUCAAAGAGUAUGGAACCUGUGGCUUUUCUUUUUUUUUUUUUUUUUUUUUUUUUUUUGGAGAAAAGGAAAAUUAUUGUGUAUACACAGGGAGAAUCACAGGGCAAUUGCCCAGGAACCCGUGUGCUAUUCAUUGGUAUCUGGGGGAUUUAGUGAAGGCAGCUCACUGCAGACACAGGAUCUUGCCUCUCAAGGUUCUGCCUGUUUUCAUUCCCCUAAGACAUAAAAUACCACAUCUCAGAGGCAGGGAGUCUUAUUCAGAGAACUCUUUUUUUUUUUUUUUUUUUUUUUUUUUUUUUGAGACAGAGUCUUGCUCUGUUGCCCAGUGCCCAGGCUGAGUGCAGUGCUAUGAUCUUGGCUCACUGCAGCCUCCAAACCUCCACCUCCUGGAUUCAAGUGAGUCUCCUGCCUUAGCCUCCCAAGUAACUGAGACUAUAGGCAAGUGCCACCACGGCCAGCUAAUUUUUCUAUUUAUAGUAGAGACAGAGUUUCACCACAUUGGCCAGGCUGGUCUCAAACUCCUGACCUCAAGUGAUCCACCCACCUUGGCCUCCCAAAGUUCUGUGAUUACUGGCAUAAGCCACCAUGCCAAGCCAGAGAGCAUAUUUUGUCUUAAGGCAAAUUAAUAACUCUGUAAUACCGAUAACACUCUUGCUUCCCAAAUCUGCCUGGUAUGUAAAAUCUUUGCUGUUGGGAAUGCUUGCAUGAGAAGGCAAUUUAUGGAAAUAGAAAAACCUUGACACCUCAAUGCAAAAUGUGCCUUUUCUCAACCUGGCACCCUUUCUUGGUCACAACAUUGCCUCUUGGCCCUGGAAGCUUCCUAGCUAGGCAGUGCCUAGUUAGGUAAACCAGCAGGUGCUAGAGGAGAGCUUAGGUCUGGGAAAUGCCCACUGUAAUUACUUGGGACUGUGUUACUUGAAAGUUGCCUUCAGCAUAUAUCUGCAGAAUGAUUGUUUCCUUCCAGGAAGAGGCUUCAGAAGCAGAGAUUCUGUUACUGGCAUUUUUAAGAUUUAUAUAGGUUUCUAUGGUCCUGUCCUGAGUGGGUAGUCUCACAGAGCCAAGACUCUCUUUUUAAAAAUGCUGCAGGUACAAAUCCUAGGUUUUCAUUCUUAGCACCAGAAUGCCGUCCCUAGAAACAGAUUUAUGUAUUUGUAGAAAUUCACUUAGUGAUAAAGGUACCACUUAAAUCACUUGGAAAAGAAGGGACCAUUCAACAAGUGUC
RNA transcript from Callithrix jacchus (white-tufted-ear marmoset), 29910 nucleotides. It is a transcript of the gene named GTP-binding nuclear protein Ran-like, with no coding region annotated. The record is from RefSeq and is a predicted model, not a curated record. NCBI's taxonomy places the organism in Eukaryota, Metazoa, Chordata, Mammalia, Primates, Cebidae.